RNAcentral lists this ribosomal RNA (544 nucleotides) under uncultured Glomeromycotina. Its description in RNAcentral is "SSU rRNA". It matches the Rfam family "Eukaryotic small subunit ribosomal RNA", at positions 548 to 1091 of the family's 1831-position model. Lineage: Eukaryota; Fungi; Glomeromycota. The record is from RNAcentral.
UUGGAGGGCAAGUCUGGUGCCAGCAGCCGCGGUAAUUCCAGCUCCAAUAGCGUAUAUUAAAGUUGUUGCAGUUAAAAAGCUCGUAGUUGAACUUCGGGGUUUACCCAUUGGUCAGGCUUAAUUGUCUGCACUGGUGAGAUGAAUCUCUACCUUCUGAGGAACUUUCAUGCCAUUUAUUUGGUGUGAUGGGAAAUCAGGACUGUUACUUUGAAAAAAUUAGAGUGUUUAAAGCAGGCUAACGUCUGAAUACAUUAGCAUGGAAUAAUGAAAUAGGACGGACUGAUUCUAUUUCGUUGGUUUCUAGGAUCACCGUAAUGAUUAAUAGGGAUAGUUGGGGGCAUUAGUAUUCAAUUGUCAGAGGUGAAAUUCUUGGAUUUAUUGAAGACUAACUACUGCGAAAGCAUUUGCCAAGGAUGUUUUCAUUAAUCAAGAACGAAAGUUAGGGGAUCGAAGACGAUCAGAUACCGUCGUAGUCUUAACCAUAAACUAUGCCGACUAGGGAUCGGACGAAGUUAAUUUUAUAAUGACGCGUUCGGCGCCUUAC